CCUACGGGAGGCAGCAGUGGGGAAUCUUGCACAAUGGGGGAAACCCUGAUGCAGCGACGCCGCGUGAGCGAUGAAGCCCUUCGGGGUGUAAAGCUCUUUCGGCAGGAACGAUAAUGACGGUACCUGCAGAAGAAGCUGCGGCUAACUACGUGCCAGCAGCCGCGGUAAUACGUAGGCAGCAAGCGUUGUUCGGAGUUACUGGGCGUAAAGAGUAUGUAGGCGGUGAGGCAAGUCUGGUGUGAAAUCUCCCGGCUCAACUGGGAGGGGGCGCCGGAAACUGCCUGGCUAGAGUGCGGGAGAGGAGAGCGGAAUUCCUGGUGUAGCGGUGAAAUGCGUAGAUAUCAGGAGGAACACCGGCGGUGUAGACGGCUCUCUGGACCGCGACUGACGCUGAGAUACGAAAGCGUGGGGAGCAAACAGGAUUAGAUACCCUGGUAGUC
RNAcentral lists this ribosomal RNA (440 nucleotides) under uncultured bacterium. RNAcentral's name for it is "bacterial SSU rRNA". It matches the Rfam family "Bacterial small subunit ribosomal RNA", at positions 338 to 795 of the family's 1533-position model. The record is from RNAcentral.